This 413-nucleotide unclassified non-coding RNA is filed under the name soil metagenome. RNAcentral's name for it is "partial contains 5.8S ribosomal RNA, internal transcribed spacer 2, and large subunit ribosomal RNA". The stretch from base 1 to 120 matches the Rfam family "5.8S ribosomal RNA", at positions 35 to 154 of the family's 154-position model. The record is from RNAcentral.
GAUGAAGAACGUAGCGAAAUGCGAUACGUAGUGUGAAUUGCAGAAUUCCGUGAACCAUAAAAUCUUUGAACGCAUAUUGCGCUCGAGGCUUCGGCCGAGAGCAUGUCUGCCUCAGCGUCGGUAUUACCCCUCGCUUCUCAACCCCUGGUUGAUGCCUGCCUGCCUUUGCAGUUGGCUAGAAGCGGAUCUGGCUUUCCCAAUUGCCUUUGGUAGUUGGGUCAGCUGAAGCACAGAGGCUUGAGCAAGGACCCUUAUUGGGCUUCAACUGGAUAGGUAGAACUGGUCUUAGGACCAACUACACGAAGUUGUUGCUUGUGGUCUUUUGUCUGGAGGCCAGCAGGAAACCUUUAUACCUUCGACCUAAGCUCAGGCAAGAUUACCCGCUGAACUUAAGCAUAUCAAUAAGCGGAGGA